This 452-nucleotide ribosomal RNA is filed under the name uncultured Rhodocyclaceae bacterium. RNAcentral's name for it is "bacterial SSU rRNA". It matches the Rfam family "Bacterial small subunit ribosomal RNA", at positions 933 to 1382 of the family's 1533-position model. The record is from RNAcentral. Lineage: Bacteria; Pseudomonadati; Pseudomonadota; Betaproteobacteria; Rhodocyclales; Rhodocyclaceae.
UGGAUGAUGUGGAUAAUUCGAUGCAACGACGAAAACCUUACCUACCCUUGACAUGUCUGGAAUCCCGAAGAGAUUUGGGAGUGCUCGCAAGAGAACCGGAACACAGGUGCUGCAUGGCUGUCGUCAGCUCGUGUCGUGAGAUGUUGGGUUAAGUCCCGCAACGAGCGCAACCCUUGUCCUUAGUUGCCAGCAUUCAGUUGGGCACUCUAAAGGAGGACUGCCCGGUGUCAAACCGGAGGAAGGUGGGGAUGACGUCAAGUCCUCAUGGCCCUUAUGUCCAGGGCUACACACGUGCUACAAUGGCCGGUACAAAGGGGCGCAAGACCGCGAGGUGGAGCAAAUCCCAAAAAACCGGUCUCAGUUCGGAUUGGAGUCUGCAACUCGACUCCAUGAAGUUGGAAUCGCUAGUAAUCGCGUAUCAGCAUGACGCGGUGAAUACGUUCCCGGGCCUU